GAUGAACGCUGGCGGCGUGCCUAACACAUGCAAGUCGAACGGACAGACGCUGAGCUUGUUCCUUUGCCGUUAGCGGCGGACGGGCGAGUAACGCGUGGAUCACCUUCUUAUAUUUCUGGGAUAAUCUCGGGACACCGGAUCUAAUACUAGAUCAUAUAAUGAACCGCUUGGUUCAAUAGUGCUUCACGGCUUUGCUGUCUGUAUUAGCUGCUUCCGCGCUGCAUUGGCUAGUUGGUAAGGUCACGGCUUACCAAGGCAACGAUGCGUAUCCGACCUGAGAGGGUGAUCGGCCACACUGGAACUGAGACACGGUCCAGACUCCUACGGGAGGCAGCAGUAGGGAAUCGUCGGCAAUGGGCGGAAGCCUGACGGAGCAAGGCCGCGUGAGUGAAGAAGGUCUUCGGAUCGGAAAGCCCUGUUUUUGGGGAAGAACAGAUGUGGAAGUAAACAUGCACGUCUUGACGGUACCUAAUGAAGAAGCACCGGCUAACUACGUG
This 497-nucleotide ribosomal RNA is filed under the name uncultured bacterium. Its description in RNAcentral is "partial 16S ribosomal RNA". It matches the Rfam family "Bacterial small subunit ribosomal RNA", at positions 28 to 507 of the family's 1533-position model. The record is from RNAcentral.